Molecule: ribosomal RNA, 398 nt
Filed under: uncultured bacterium
Lineage: Bacteria
Description: bacterial SSU rRNA
Rfam family: Bacterial small subunit ribosomal RNA
Source: RNAcentral
GGAAUAUUGCACAAUGGGGGGAACCCUGAUGCAGCGACGCCGCGUGAGUGAAGAAGUAGUUCGGUAUGUAAAGCUCUAUCAGCAGGGAAGAAAAUGACGGUACCUGACUAAGAAGCCCCGGCUAACUACGUGCCAGCAGCCGCGGUAAUACGUAGGGGGCAAGCGUUAUCCGGAUUUACUGGGGGUAGAGGGAGCGCAGACGGCUGUGCAAGUCUGGAGUGAAAGGCGGGGGCCCAACCCCCGGACUGCUCUGGAAACUGUAAAGCUGGAGUGCAGGAGAGGUAAGCGGAAUUCCUAGUGUAGCGGUGAAAUGCGUAGAUAUUAGGAGGAACACCAGUGGCGAAGGCGGCUUACUGGACUGCAACUGACGUUGAGGCUCGAAAGCGUGGGGAGCAAAC